UUUAUUCAUCCAAAAUUCUUUUUGGAUGGUUCUGAGCUUGCGCUGGCUAGCUCGAAAUUAAUGGGGCGACGAUAGAACAGUUUAACGUUAUAUUUUAUUCUCGAUAAACUGGCCUAAGUAAGUAGCCUUAAAACAAGUUUCAAAUC
This 146-nucleotide unclassified non-coding RNA is filed under the name uncultured Entorrhizomycetes. RNAcentral describes it as "sequence contains ITS2". The record is from RNAcentral. Lineage: Eukaryota; Fungi; Entorrhizomycetes.